This 484-nucleotide ribosomal RNA is filed under the name uncultured bacterium. RNAcentral describes it as "partial 16S ribosomal RNA". It matches the Rfam family "Bacterial small subunit ribosomal RNA", at positions 30 to 507 of the family's 1533-position model. The record is from RNAcentral.
AUUGAACGCUGGCGGCAGGCCUAACACAUGCAAGUCGAGCGGAUGAAGGGAGCUUGCUCCUGGAUUCAGCGGCGGACGGGUGAGUAAUGCCUAGGAAUCUGCCUGGUAGUGGGGGAUAACGUCCGGAAACGGGGGCUAAUACGGCAUACGUCCUGAGGGAGAAAGGGGGGGAUCUUCGGACCUCACGCUAUCAGAUGAGCCUAGGUCGGAUUAGCUAGUUGGUGGGGUAAAGGCCUACCAAGGCGACGAUCCGUAACUGGUCUGAGAGGAUGAUCAGUCACACUGGAACUGAGACACGGUCCAGACUCCUACGGGAGGCAGCAGUGGGGAAUAUUGGACAAUGGGCGAAAGCCUGAUCCAGCCAUGCCGCGUGUGUGAAGAAGGUCUUCGGAUUGUAAAGCACUUUAAGUUGGGAGGAAGGGCAGUAAGUUAAUACCUUGCUGUUUUGACGUUACCAACAGAAUAAGCACCGGCUAACUUCGUG